Molecule: ribosomal RNA, 459 nt
Filed under: uncultured bacterium
Lineage: Bacteria
Description: partial 16S ribosomal RNA
Rfam family: Bacterial small subunit ribosomal RNA
Source: RNAcentral
CCUACGGGGGGCUGCAGUGAGGAAUAUUGGUCAAUGGCCGGAAGGCUGAACCAGCCAAGCCGCGUGAAGGACGAAGGUGCCAAGCAUUGUAAACUUCUUUUGUCAAGGGACAAAAUCAGGCUCGAGAGCCUGACCGAGGGUACUUGAAGAAAAAGCAUCGGCUAACCCCGGCCCAGCAGCCCCGGUAAUACGGGGGAUGCGAGGGUAUCCGGGAUUUAUUGGGGUUAAAGGGUGCGUAGGCGGACUGUUAAGUUAGCGGUAAAAGCCCGGGGCUCAACCCCGGCGAGCCGUUGAUACUGGCUGUCUUGAGAUGUCGAGAGGUAUGCGGAAUGCGCGGUGUAGCGGUGAAAUGCGUAGAGAUUGCGCAGAACUCCGAUUGCGAAGGCAGCAUACCGGCGGCGAUCUGACGCUGAGGCACGAAAGCGUGGGUAUCGAACAGGAUUAGAUACCCGAGUAGUC